Molecule: ribosomal RNA, 576 nt
Filed under: uncultured eukaryote
Lineage: Eukaryota
Description: bacterial SSU rRNA
Rfam family: Eukaryotic small subunit ribosomal RNA
Source: RNAcentral
GAGUUGUAUUUAUUAGAUGGAAACCAACUGCUUCGGCAUGAUGUGGUGAUUCAAGCCUGGGGGGCGAUUGCGUGGCUUUGCCGGCGAUGGAUCCUUUACGUUUCUUCCCUAUCUUCUUUGACGGAACUGUAUUGGAGUACCUUGGCAGUAACGGGGAACGGAAAAUUAGGGUUUGACGCCGGAGAGGGAGCCUGAGAGACGGCUACCACAUCCAAGGAAGGCAGCACGCGCGUAAAUUACCCAAUCUUGACACAAGGAGGUAGUGACAAUAAAUAACAAUGCCGGGCCUUUGUAGGUCUGGCAAUUGGAAUGAGAACAAUUUAAACCCCUUAUCGAGGAUCAAUUGGAGGGCAAGUCUGGUGCCAGCAGCCGCGGUAAUUCCAGCUCCAAUAGCGUAUAUUAAAGUUGUUGCAGUUAAAAAGCUCGUAGUUAGAUUUGUGGCGUGUGCCGUGGCGUCCAUUUAUUUGGUUCUGCCGUGGCCGUGCCAUCCUUGUGUGGAUCCAGUGUGGCAUUAGGUUGUCGUGCUGGCUAUGCACAUCGUUUACUGUGAAAAAAUUAGAGUGUUCAAAGCAGGCU